Molecule: transfer RNA, 28 nt
Filed under: Brunnera macrophylla
Lineage: Eukaryota; Viridiplantae; Streptophyta; Magnoliopsida; Boraginales; Boraginaceae
Also listed under: 2 other names
Description: partial tRNA-Phe
Source: RNAcentral
GUCGGGAUAGCUCAGCUGUAGAGCAGAG